UACAUAGGGUGCGAGCGUUAAUCGGAAUUACUGGGCGUAAAGCGUGCGCAGGCGGUUUUGUAAGUCAGAUGUGAAAUCCCCGGGCUUAACCUGGGAACUGCGUUUGAAACUACAAGGCUAGAGUGUAGCAGAGGGGGGUGGAAUUCCACGUGUAGCAGUGAAAUGCGUAGAGAUGUGGAGGAACACCGGUGGCGAAGGCGGCUCACUGGGUCUCUUCUGACGCUGAGGCACGAAAGCCAAGGUAGCAAACGGG
RNAcentral lists this ribosomal RNA (253 nucleotides) under uncultured bacterium. RNAcentral's name for it is "partial 16S ribosomal RNA". It matches the Rfam family "Bacterial small subunit ribosomal RNA", at positions 524 to 776 of the family's 1533-position model. The record is from RNAcentral.